UGCCAGCAGCCGCGGUAACACGGGGGGCGCAAGCGUUAUUCGGAAUUAUUGGGCGUAAAGCGCACGUAGGCGGCUUGGUCAGUCUGUUGUGGAAGCCCUCGGCUCAACCGGGGAAUUGCAUCGGAUACUGCCAGGCUUGAGGACGGUUGGGGUGAGUGGAACUCCUGGUGGAGCGGUGAAAUGCGUAGAUAUCAGGAGGAACACCAGUGGCGAAAGCGGCUCACUGGACCGUAUCUGACGCUGAGGUGCGAAAGCUAGGGUAGCGAACGGGAUUAGAUA
RNAcentral lists this ribosomal RNA (279 nucleotides) under uncultured bacterium. Its description in RNAcentral is "partial 16S ribosomal RNA". It matches the Rfam family "Bacterial small subunit ribosomal RNA", at positions 506 to 784 of the family's 1533-position model. The record is from RNAcentral.